This 496-nucleotide ribosomal RNA is filed under the name uncultured bacterium. RNAcentral's name for it is "partial 16S ribosomal RNA". It matches the Rfam family "Bacterial small subunit ribosomal RNA", at positions 28 to 507 of the family's 1533-position model. The record is from RNAcentral.
GAUGAACGCUGGCGGCGUGCCUAAUACAUGCAAGUCGAGCGAACAGACGAGGAGCUUGCUCCUUUGACGUUAGCGGCGGACGGGUGAGUAACACGUAGGUAACCUACCUAUAAGACUGGGAUAACUUCGGGAAACCGGAGCUAAUACCGGAUAAUAUUUCGAACCGCAUGGUUCGAUAGUGAAAGAUGCUUUGCUAUCACUUAUAGAUGGACCUGCGCCGUAUUAGCUAGUUGGUAAGGUAACGGCUUACCAAGGCAACGAUACGUAGCCGACCUGAGAGGGUGAUCGGCCACACUGGAACUGAGACACGGUCCAGACUCCUACGGGAGGCAGCAGUAGGGAAUCUUCCGCAAUGGGCGAAAGCCUGACGGAGCAACGCCGCGUGAGUGAUGAAGGUCUUCGGAUCGUAAAACUCUGUUAUUAGGGAAGAACAAACGUGUAAGUAACUGUGCACGUCUUGACGGUACCUAAUCAGAAAGCCACGGCUAACUACGUG